UUACGGGAGGCAGCAGUGGGGAAUCUUGCGCAAUGGGCGAAAGCCUGACGCAGCGACGCCGCGUGUGCGAUGAAGGCCUUUGGGUCGUAAAGCACUGUCGACCGGGACGAAAACUCGCGGACUAACACUUCGUGAGCUUGACGGUACUGGUAAAGGAAGCACCGGCUAACUCUGUGCCAGCAGCCGCGGUAAUACAGAGGGUGCAAACGUUGCUCGGAAUUAUUGGGCGUAAAGCGCGUGUAGGCGGUCUGUUAAGUCGGUUGUGAAAACCCAUGGCUCAACCAUGGAAGUGCGUCCGAAACUGGCAGACUGGAGUCCUGACGAGGGUGGCGGAAUUCCCAGUGUAGAGGUGAAAUUCGUAGAUAUUGGGAGGAACAUCGGUGGCGAAGGCGGCCACCUGGGAAGGCACUGACGCUGAGACGCGAAAGCGUGGGGAGCAAACAGGAUUAGAUACCCCUGUAGUCC
RNAcentral lists this ribosomal RNA (465 nucleotides) under uncultured bacterium. Its description in RNAcentral is "bacterial SSU rRNA". It matches the Rfam family "Bacterial small subunit ribosomal RNA", at positions 339 to 796 of the family's 1533-position model. The record is from RNAcentral.